GUUAAGUUUAGUUCCCAUGCAAAGGUGGCCAUGCAUGACAUGCAAAGGUGGUCAAGCUUCUGGAAUCGCAGCAAGCAGUGGAGCCAUGGUGUGCAGCAACUGAAGUUUGAAGCUGCCAAUCUAUUUGCUGUUUUAGUUUCAUUUUGUUUUCUUUUUGUAAUCUAGUUCAUGUUGAACUAAGUAGGUAAAUGUUUUGAUAUUGAUUGACUGAAAAGUCAGCAAUGCAAGUUGUACAAGCUAAUCUUGUAAGUUUCAAUGCAAAUUAGUGGAGUUAGGUAGUUGAUUAGGUGAUUACUUGUUUGAUUUACUAGUUGACUGAUAUAUGUAAUGGCUUAAUGCCUUGUUGAUGUGUUAAUGAAAGUUAUCAGCUCAUUUUUCAUUCAAUCUUUUCUCUCUUUUUCUGUUUUUCACUUGCUAGCAUCAUCUUUCUGUUGUUGCUUCCGAGUUUGCUUCUUCACCAAGCCUCGAGGCUUACUACUCAAGCAAGGCUAGAAACAGCUUGCUGCUGCCUCUUGCACCAACAAUUGGUAUCGAGAGCUCUUGUCUUAGUGGACCUGUUGCUUCAAAACAAAGAACUUGAUGGCUUCUUCAGGAUUUUCACCAGCAGCCCCACCAGUCUUCAAUGGAGAAGGCUUUCACAUAUGGCUGGUCAAGAUGAAGACUUACCUACAGGCCUUCGAUCUGUGGGAAGUUGUCAACACAGAUACUGAGCCAGCACCACUGAGGGCUAAUCCCACAGUAGCUCAGAUUAGGCAACAUGCUGAUGAGAGGACCAAAAGGCACAAAGCCAUGUCCUGCAUCCAGAACUGUGUGUCAGAUGUCAUCUUCACCAGAAUCAUGGCCUGUGAGACUCCAAAACAGGCCUGGGAUAAGCUCAAGGAGGAGUUUCAAGGCACUGAGAGAACAAGGCAACAGCAGCUGCUAAACUUGAGAAGGGACUUCGAGAAUUUGAAGAUGAAGGAAGAAGAAACAGUGAAGCAGUACUCAGAUAGAAUUAUGGCAGUGGUUAACAGCAUAAGGCUCCUAGGUGAGCACUUUGAUGAGGCAAGAAUUGUGGAGAAAGUCCUCUCCACUUUGCCUGAGAGAUAUGAGGCCAAGAUAUCCUCUCUAGAGGACUCAAGAGACCUUGCUAGCAUCUCUUUGACUGAGCUAAUCAACACCUUUUAUGCUCAGGAACAAAGAAGAGCUAGCAGAGCUGAAGAUCACCAAGAAGGUGCAUUUCAAGCCAAGGCCAGAGAAACCUCGAGCACUAAUGCUCAAAGAGGCAAAAGGCCCUGGAAAAACAGGCCUAAGCCUGAUGCUGCAAGGAGCAAUGACCAGCCCUGCAGAUAUUGCAAGAAGCCUGGCCAUCCAGAAGACAGAUGCUGGUUUAGGCCAGAUGCAGUAUGCCAACACUGCAAGAAGAAGGGCCAUGUUGAAAGGGUCUGCAAAAACAGAAGUAAGCCAAGGCAGAAUCAAUUUCAGCAGUCAAAGGUUGAAGCUCGAGUAGCUGAGGACAGUAGUGACCAAGAAGAACAGGUCUUUGCUGUUUCCUGUGUAGCUUCUGAGAAGAAAUGCUCUAAAAGCUGGUUGCUAGACAGUGGUUGCACUAACCACAUGUCACCAGAUGCCUCCUUGUUUAAAACCUUGGACAAAAGUUAUAAAACCAAGGUCAAGGUUGGAAAUGGUCAGUUUAUAAGGGCUGAAGGAAGAGGAGAAGUGCUGAUAUGUACUCCCACAGGCAACAAGAUCAUUCCAAAUGUGCUGUUGGUACCACAGAUUGACAGAAACCUUCUCAGCAUAGCUCAACUGCUUGAGAAAGGUUAUUCUGUUGUGUUCAAGGAUAAACAAUGCCAUAUUACUGAUCCAAGUGGAUCAAGUCUUAUGACAGUCACAAUGACUGAUAAAUGCUUUGAGGUUCACUGGGCAAAUGACUCAAACUCAGCAUACACAGCCUCUGUUGAAGACUCCAAGCUUUGGCAUCAAAGGCUUGGACAUGCCAACUUCAGAUCAAUGGCUCGAUUGGCCAAAGAGGGCUUGGCAGAGAACUUCAUCAGCUCAGUGGAGCAUGAUGAUGUGUGUGAAGUUUGCCAAAUGGGGAAACAGGCAAGACUGCCAUUUCCUACAAAUUCAACCUGGAGAGCUACUGAAAGACUGCAGCUGGUGCACUCUGAUGUAUGUGGCCCGAUGAGGACUGAAUCACUCAGCAAAAACAGGUAUUUCAUCCUCUUUAUUGAUGACCUUACAAGGUUUUGCUGGAUUUUCUUUUUAAAACACAAGUCUGAGGUAGCUCAAGUGUUUGUGAAGUUUAAAAAUGCUGUAGAAACAGAAACAGGUUGCAAGCUGAAAUCGAUAAGGACUGAUAAUGGCACUGAGUACACUUCAGCUCAGUUUCAAGCCAUUUGCAAUGAUGCUGGUAUCAAACAUCAGCUUACAAAUGUCUACACACCUCAGCAGAAUGGGGUAGCUGAAAGAAAGAAUAGAAGUCUGAUGGAUAUGGCCAGAUGUCUGCUGUUUGAGAAGAAACUGCCCAAGACCAUGUGGGCUGAGGCAGUAAACACUGCUGCUUACCUUCAGAACAGGCUUCCUACUAAAGCUCUUGCAUCCGAGACACCUUUCGAGGCUUGGUCUGGUUUCAAACCUUCCUUGGCACAUCUGAAGGUGUUUUGUUGCCUGUGUUAUGCACAAAUACCAGCAGCAAAGAGAGACAAGCUCUCUAAAAGGGCUCAACCAGGUGUUCUAGUAGGCUACAGCUCAGUCAAGAAGGGCUACAGGGUUCUGGAUCCCUUGAUAAACAAAGUCCAAGUGAGCAGAGAUGUCAUCUUUGAUGAAAAAGCCUACUGGAAUUGGGAGAAAAAUGAGCCAGAAGUAGUUUCAGAAAACCUAGUGCCUAAUCAAGCUGAACUUGAGCAGCUAGAACCUGAAAUGGAUGUUGAUGAUGUGCCUGUGAGAGGCACAAGGCCCCUUGAUGAUAUUUAUGAAAGGGCACAGGUUGCAAUAGCAGAACCUAGCAGUUUUGAAGAGGCUGAGGCAGAUGAAGGCUGGAAACUAGCUAUGGUCAAUGAAAUCAACAUGAUUGAAAAGAACCAGACAUGGGAACUUGUUGAUAAACCUGCUGGAAAAAAGACCAUUGGAGUAAAAUGGGUCUAUCGAGUAAAACAGAAUGCAGAUGGCAGUCUGAACAAGCUAAAAGCCAGGCUUGUUGUCAAAGGAUUUAGCCAAAGGUAUGGUCUGGACUAUCUGGAGACAUUUGCACCAGUAGCCAGGCUUGACACAGUUAGAAUGAUAGUUGCCUUGGCUACUCAACAUCAGUGGACCAUUCAUCAACUUGAUGUUAAGUCUGCAUUUCUUAAUGGCUUCCUGGAAGAAGAGAUCUACAUCGAGCAGCCUCAAGGAUUUGUGAUCACUGGCAAAGAACACAUGGUGUACAGACUGAAAAAGGCUUUAUAUGGCCUGAAACAGGCUCCUCGAGCCUGGUAUGCUCGAAUUGACUCUUACUUGCUCAGUUUGGAAUUUGAGAGAAGUCCCAGUGAACCAACACUGUAUGUGAAGAAGAACCAAGCUCAAACUCAGCUUAUUCUGUCACUCUAUGUUGAUGAUCUACUGAUAACUGGAGGAGAUGGAAGAAUGCUGGAAGAUUUCAAAAGAAAAAUGAAGGAAAUGUUUGAAAUGUCUGAUUUAGGCAGAAUGAACUACUUCCUUGGAAUGGAAGUGAACCAAACAGAAAAGAGAAUCUUUCUUUGUCAAAGUUCUUUUACUAUGAAGAUCCUGGAUAAGUUCUCUAUGAAGAACUGCAAGCCAACAAGCACACCAAUGGCUGUUGGAAUGAAGCUUUCAAGGCAAGGAAGUGGUGAACCAAUUUGUGAGACCAUGUACAAGAGUCUCAUUGGUAGUCUGUUGUAUUUGACUGCCACAAGGCCCGAUAUCAUGUUUGCUGUCAGUAUGCUAUCAAGAUACAUGAAUUGCUGCAAUGAUCAGCACUUUCGAGCAGCUAAAAGAGUGCUGAGAUACAUCAAAGGCACCAUUGGUCAUGGUGUAUUGUUCAAAAGGGCUGAAAGCAUGAAGCUAAUAGGCUAUGUUGAUAGUGACUGGGCUGGAUCAAGUGAUGACAUGAGAAGCACAUCCGGUUAUGCAUUCAGUCUUGGCUCAGGCAUGUUUUGCUGGAGUUCUAAGAAACAAAGUCUGGUGGCACAAUCAACAGCAGAAGCUGAAUAUGUUGCUGCUGCAUCUGCUGUGAACCAAGCCAUAUGGCUUAGAAAAAUCUUGACUGAUUUAAACCAAAACCAAAAGGAGGCAACAGAGAUUUAUUGUGACAACAAAUCUGCUGUUGCAAUUGCAAAAAAUCCCAUUUUUCAUGGCAGAACCAAGCACUUCAAUAUUAAGUUGCAUGUUAUAAGGGAGAUGGAACAAGCUCAUGAAAUCGAGCUGAUUCAUUGCAACUCAGAAGAGCAAAUUGCUGAUAUCUUUACAAAGGCACUCAAUGUGUCUAAAUUUGUUAAAUUCAAAAGGGAAUUAGGUGUUACUAGCAUGGAAACUAAGGAGGAGUGUUAAGUUUAGUUCCCAUGCAAAGGUGGCCAUGCAUGACAUGCAAAGGUGGUCAAGCUUCUGGAAUCGCAGCAAGCAGUGGAGCCAUGGUGUGCAGCAACUGAAGUUUGAAGCUGCCAAUCUAUUUGCUGUUUUAGUUUCAUUUUGUUUUCUUUUUGUAAUCUAGUUCAUGUUGAACUAAGUAGGUAAAUGUUUUGAUAUUGAUUGACUGAAAAGUCAGCAAUGCAAGUUGUACAAGCUAAUCUUGUAAGUUUCAAUGCAAAUUAGUGGAGUUAGGUAGUUGAUUAGGUGAUUACUUGUUUGAUUUACUAGUUGAAUGAUAUAUGUAAUGGCUUAAUGCCUUGUUGAUGUGUUAAUGAAAGUUAUCAGCUCAUUUUUCAUUCAAUCUUUUCUCUCUUUUUCUGUUUUUCACUUGCUAGCAUCAUCUUUCUGUUGUUGCUUCCGAGUUUGCUUCUUCACCAAGCCUCGAGGCUUACUACUCAAGCAAGGCUAGAAACAGCUUGCUGCUGCCUCUUGCACCAACA
This 5048-nucleotide long non-coding RNA is filed under the name Gossypium barbadense (sea-island cotton). RNAcentral's name for it is "long non-coding RNA (GBAR_LNC021165)". The record is from RNAcentral. Lineage: Eukaryota; Viridiplantae; Streptophyta; Magnoliopsida; Malvales; Malvaceae.